UACGUAGGGUCCGAGCGUUGUCCGGAAUUACUGGGCGUAAAGAGCUCGUAGGCGGUCUGUCGCGUCUGCUGUGAAAACUCGGGGCUUAACCCCGGGCCUGCAGUGGGUACGGGCAGACUAGAGUGCGGUAGGGGAGACUGGAAUUCCUGGUGUAGCGGUGAAAUGCGCAGAUAUCAGGAGGAACACCGGUGGCGAAGGCGGGUCUCUGGGCCGUAACUGACGCUGAGGAGCGAAAGCAUGGGGAGCGAACAGG
RNAcentral lists this ribosomal RNA (253 nucleotides) under uncultured bacterium. RNAcentral's name for it is "partial 16S ribosomal RNA". It matches the Rfam family "Bacterial small subunit ribosomal RNA", at positions 524 to 776 of the family's 1533-position model. The record is from RNAcentral.